CCUAGGGAGGCAGCAGUGGGGAAUAUUGGACAAUGGGCGAAAGCCUGAUCCAGCCAUGCCGCGUGUGUGAAGAAGGCCUUCGGGUUGUAAAGCACUUUCAGUGGGGAAGAAAGCCUUGGGGCUAAUACCCUCGAGGAAGGACAUCACCCACAGAAGAAGCACCGGCUAACUCCGUGCCAGCAGCCGCGGUAAUACGGAGGGUGCGAGCGUUAAUCGGAAUUACUGGGCGUAAAGCGCGCGUAGGCGGUCUGAUAAGCCGGUUGUGAAAGCCCCGGGCUCAACCUGGGAACGGCAUCCGGAACUGUCAGGCUAGAGUGCAGGAGAGGAAGGUAGAAUUCCCGGUGUAGCGGUGAAAUGCGUAGAGAUCGGGAGGAAUACCAGUGGCGAAGGCGGCCUUCUGGACUGACACUGACGCUGAGGUGCGAAAGCGUGGGUAGCAAACAGGAUUUAGAUACCCCAGUAGUC
Molecule: ribosomal RNA, 465 nt
Filed under: Vreelandella stevensii
Lineage: Bacteria; Pseudomonadati; Pseudomonadota; Gammaproteobacteria; Oceanospirillales; Halomonadaceae
Description: partial 16S ribosomal RNA
Rfam family: Bacterial small subunit ribosomal RNA
Source: RNAcentral